GAUGAACGCUGGCGGCGUGCCUAAUACAUGCAAGUCGAGCGAACGGACGAGAAGCUUGCUUCUCUGAUGUUAGCGGCGGACGGGUGAGUAACACGUGGAUAACCUACCUAUAAGACUGGGAUAACUUCGGGAAACCGGAGCUAAUACCGGAUAAUAUUUUGAACCGCAUGGUUCAAAAGUGAAAGACGGUCUUGCUGUCACUUAUAGAUGGAUCCGCGCUGCAUUAGCUAGUUGGUAAGGUAACGGCUUACCAAGGCAACGAUGCAUAGCCGACCUGAGAGGGUGAUCGGCCACACUGGAACUGAGACACGGUCCAGACUCCUACGGGAGGCAGCAGUAGGGAAUCUUCCGCAAUGGGCGAAAGCCUGACGGAGCAACGCCGCGUGAGUGAUGAAGGUCUUCGGAUCGUAAAACUCUGUUAUUAGGGAAGAACAUAUGUGUAAGUAACUGUGCACAUCUUGACGGUACCUAAUCAGAAAGCCACGGCUAACUACGUGCCAGCAGCCGCGGUAAUACGUAUGUGGCAAGCGUUAUCCGGAAUUAUUGGGCGUAAAGCGCGCGUAGGCGGUUUUUUAGUCUGAUGUGAAAGCCCACGGCUCAACCGUGGAGGGUCAUUGGAAACUGGAAAACUUGAGUGCAGAAGAGGAAAGUGGAAUUCCAUGUGUAGCGGUGAAAUGCGCAGAGAUAUGGAGGAACACCAGUGGCGAAGGCGACUUUCUGGUCUGUAACUGACGCUGAUGUGCGAAAGCGUGGGGAUCAAACAGAAUUAGAUACCCUGGUAGUCCACGCCGUAAACGAUGAGUGCUAAGUGUUAGGGGGUUUCCGCCCCUUAGUGCUGCAGCUAACGCAUUAAGCACUCCGCCUGGGGAGUACGACCGCAAGGUUGAAACUCAAAGGAAUUGACGGGGACCCGCACAAGCGGUGGAGCAUGUGGUUUAAUUCGAAGCAACGCGAAGAACCUUACCAAAUCUUGACAUCCUUUGACAACUCUAGAGAUAGAGCCUUCCCCUUCGGGGGACAAAGUGACAGGUGGUGCAUGGUUGUCGUCAGCUCGUGUCGUGAGAUGUUGGGUUAAGUCCCGCAACGAGCGCAACCCUUAAGCUUAGUUGCCAUCAUUAAGUUGGGCACUCUAAGUUGACUGCCGGUGACAAACCGGAGGAAGGUGGGGAUGACGUCAAAUCAUCAUGCCCCUUAUGAUUUGGGCUACACACGUGCUACAAUGGACAAUACAAAGGGCAGCGAAACCGCGAGGUCAAGCAAAUCCCAUAAAGUUGUUCUCAGUUCGGAUUGUAGUCUGCAACUCGACUACAUGAAGCUGGAAUCGCUAGUAAUCGUAGAUCAGCAUGCUACGGUGAAUACGUUCCCGGGUCU
RNAcentral lists this ribosomal RNA (1371 nucleotides) under uncultured bacterium. RNAcentral describes it as "bacterial SSU rRNA". It matches the Rfam family "Bacterial small subunit ribosomal RNA", at positions 28 to 1381 of the family's 1533-position model. The record is from RNAcentral.